Molecule: ribosomal RNA, 618 nt
Filed under: Vibrio sp.
Lineage: Bacteria; Pseudomonadati; Pseudomonadota; Gammaproteobacteria; Vibrionales; Vibrionaceae
Description: bacterial SSU rRNA
Rfam family: Bacterial small subunit ribosomal RNA
Source: RNAcentral
UGCAGUCGAGCGGAACGAGUUAUCUGAACCUUCGGGGGACGAUAACGGCGUCGAGCGGCGGACGGGUGAGUAAUGCCUAGGAAAUUGCCCUGAUGUGGGGGAUAACCAUUGGAAACGAUGGCUAAUACCGCAUGAUGCCUACGGGCCAAAGAGGGGGACCUUCGGGCCUCUCGCGUCAGGAUAUGCCUAGGUGGGAUUAGCUAGUUGGUGAGGUAAGGGCUCACCAAGGCGACGAUCCCUAGCUGGUCUGAGAGGAUGAUCAGCCACACUGGAACUGAGACACGGUCCAGACUCCUACGGGAGGCAGCAGUGGGGAAUAUUGCACAAUGGGCGCAAGCCUGAUGCAGCCAUGCCGCGUGUGUGAAGAAGGCCUUCGGGUUGUAAAGCACUUUCAGUCGUGAGGAAGGUAGUGUAGUUAAUAGCUGCAUUAUUUGACGUUAGCGACAGAAGAAGCACCGGCUAACUCCGUGCCAGCAGCCGCGGUAAUACGGAGGGUGCGAGCGUUAAUCGGAAUUACUGGGCGUAAAGCGCAUGCAGGUGGUUUGUUAAGUCAGAUGUGAAAGCCCGGGGCUCAACCUCGGAAUUGCAUUUGAAACUGGCAGACUAGAGUACUGUAGA